Molecule: ribosomal RNA, 385 nt
Filed under: uncultured Bacteroidales bacterium
Lineage: Bacteria; Pseudomonadati; Bacteroidota; Bacteroidia; Bacteroidales
Description: bacterial SSU rRNA
Rfam family: Bacterial small subunit ribosomal RNA
Source: RNAcentral
GCUCAGGAUGAACGCUAGCUACAGGCUUAACACAUGCAAGUCGAGGGGCAGCGGGGAGGAAGCUUGCUUUCUCCGCCGGCGACCGGCGCACGGGUGAGUAACGCGUAUCGAACCUGCCUCAUACUCGGGAAUAGCCUUGCGAAAGUAAGAUUAAUGCCCGAUGUUUUCAGCGGUCCGCAUGAACUGCUGAACAAAGAUUUAUCGGUAUGAGAUGGCGAUGCGUCCCAUUAGCUUGUUGGCGGGGUAAUAGCCCACCAAGGCAUCGAUGGGUAGGGGUUCUGAGAGGAAGGUCCCCCACAUUGGAACUGAGACACGGUCCAAACUCCUACGGGAGGCAGCAGUGAGGAAUAUUGGUCAAUGGACGCAAGUCUGAACCAGCCAAGUA